This 253-nucleotide ribosomal RNA is filed under the name uncultured bacterium. RNAcentral describes it as "partial 16S ribosomal RNA". It matches the Rfam family "Bacterial small subunit ribosomal RNA", at positions 524 to 776 of the family's 1533-position model. The record is from RNAcentral.
UACGUAGGUGGCAAGCGUUGUCCGGAUUUACUGGGCGUAAAGGGCGUGUAGGCGGUCCGCUAAGUCUGGUGUGAAAUCUCCCGGCUCAACUGGGAGGGGUCAUUGGAUACUGGCGGACUAGAGGGGGGCAGAGGAAGGUGGAAUUCCCGGUGUAGCGGUGAUAUGCGUAGAUAUCGGGAGGAACACCAGUGGCGAAGGCGGCCUUCUGGGCCCACCCUGACGCUGAGGCGCGAAAGCGUGGGGAGCAAACCGG